AUGUUGAAGCAGCGCCUGGCCUGGGAGAUACGUGCCCUGCAGAGCAGCAAGGAGCAGUUGCUCACUGAAGGUGGGAUGCUCCGUGCAGUUUUGGGGCUGAGGGGGCGGGGCCUAGCCCUCUGGGGCUCCUGGCCCCGCCCAUAACGCCCCGCCCACCCGCAGAGAAACUGGCGCGGGCCAAGCUAGAGGAGGUGGAGCGGCAGCUGAGCUUGCCACCCGAGGUCGGGGGCGCCCGGGCAGUGAACGAUGGGCUGAAGGCGGAGCUGGAGAAAUUCGGGGGACAGGGUCCUGCCCAAAUCCAUUGCAUCCCAAAGGACGAGGCCGGCAAAGUAGAGGCUGACCCCGAGCUCCCUGGCGCUAUCAGUGAGGACCUGGAGCCGCCCCCAGAGCAAUAGGACCCGCCCGGAGACCCCCGCCCCCACCCUCUUCGAGGCGGGCCGAGAAAUAAAGACGAGGAUUUCG
This 462-nucleotide long non-coding RNA is filed under the name Ursus americanus (American black bear). RNAcentral describes it as "lncRNA (ENSUAMG00000018869.1)". Lineage: Eukaryota; Metazoa; Chordata; Mammalia; Carnivora; Ursidae. The record is from RNAcentral.